GAGGGGUUAGGUGCCUUGCUCAAGGGCACUUCAGCCGUGCCUACUGGUCGGGGUUCGAACCGGCAACCCUCCGAUUACAAGUCCUAAGCGCUAACCAGUAGGCCACGGCUGCCCCACAAGUAUACACUAGUGAGGUAUUCCUACUUUUGUGUUAGAUGAGUUGACACUAGUGAGGUGUUCCUACUCUGGUCAGGUGUUAGAUGAGAUGACACUAGUGAGGUGUUCCUACUCUGGUCAGGUGAGAUGACACUAGUGAGGUGUUCCUACUCUGGUCAGGUGUUAGAUGACACUAGUGAGGUGUUCCUACUCUGGUCAGGUGAGAUGACACUAGUGAGGUGUUCCUACUCUGGUCAGGUGUCAGAUGAGAUGACACUAGUGAGGUGUUCCUACUCUGGUCAGGUGUCAGAUGAGAUGACACUAGUGAGGUGUUCCUACUCUGGUCAGGUGAGAUGACACUAGUGAGGUGUUCCUACUCUGGUCAGGUGUUAGAUGACACUAGUGAGGUGCUCCUACUCUGGUCAGGUGAGAUGACACUAGUGAGGUGUUCCUACUCUGGUCAGGUGUGGCUACUUGUGUUUCUGCCUGCUUCCUCCUCCGCCAUCUUGACGCUGCUUCGCUCCGCUCCACUCUGCCCCAGACCUGCAGAUUCCUGACUUUUUCUGCUGUUUUUGUAAAGAAUGUUUUCCUCUUUUUUUAAUCAAAUAAAGGAAAUGUGAACUCUUGAA
This is a long non-coding RNA of Alosa alosa (allis shad), 725 nucleotides long. RefSeq lists it as uncharacterized. Lineage: Eukaryota; Metazoa; Chordata; Actinopteri; Clupeiformes; Clupeidae. The record is from RefSeq and is a predicted model, not a curated record. The transcript has 2 exons.